ACCAGAACCACCUGCUGGAGAAAGGGAGCUACGGGGGCCGGGCAGGGUCCAAACGCCUCACGUGGGCGGCGGCGCCACGGUCUUCGGGGUCACAGGGAAGAGAAGGGCUCUCCUCAAGCGGGUGGAAGGAGGGAGGCCUCCCGAGGGAAUGAGACUCCAGGCCACUCCCCCGCAGCAAGGCAGGAUCACCUGCGUCGCGGAGAGCAGUUAGAGGUCCCUGGAGUGGAAAAGGGCAGUGGGACCUGGUAGCUUGGGUUCCCUGCAACUUGGGGUUCGACCUCCAGGCAAUGAAGUAGGGAUGGUCCUGCAAGUCAAGAUUCCAGUAGCAAGAGUGCAUCAGAUCUCUGUAAGGAAAAUAACUAACAUUGCUCAGUUCCCUGUAGAGUUGCAGGGCGCUUUGACGUUAUCUCCCUUGGUUCUCCAUCAGGUCGUAGUGGACUAAUUUUACAGGCGAAGUUAAGUGACUUACCCAAAACCUCACAGCUAAUAAACGGCAGAGCCGGCACCCAGCUGUACUGGCUUCCAGCGCAUCCCAUUAUCUCCAUAAAUCCCCCUGAUUCAACUAAUAUUAGACGCCCCACAGAGUCUCGCUGCUCAAAACGUGGUCAGUGGCCCAGCAGCACUGACAUGAGGACCUUAGUUGGAAACUCAGAAUCUCAGGCUCCACCCCAGACCUGCUGAACCAGCAUCUUCAACUUAACAAGAACCCGAAGAGAUUUGUGCCACAUCAAAAAGUUUGAGAAGCUCUGAUCUAGCUGGACCCUGGACACGGUGACUCUGAUUCAAUUAUGCAGAUGACCACAAGCCUCUGGGGUUGGCAGAGCCACAAGAAAGAAGGUGCCUGGAUGAAGGAGAGCUACCCACUGACCUGGACACCCAAUUAUAGGAUAGACAGUGAAGUGCAACUACAGCCCGCAAAUGAAAAUGAAUAAAAUUAAUCCAGCCCCUCAAGGCAGUCAUCUGUCUUAGAGCUAUUGGAAUCCUGGAUCAUUGUGGGAAAUGAAAAGAACUGGUUUUUAGCAAGGAGACCAAGAAACUCUACUCCCUAGGGGCUAGCAAUGAGAGAAAGGAAGCCUUGAGUCUUUGAGCACAGGGUGACAGUUUGGGUCCUAUGUGAGAUGAUCAAAUCCACAGCAACAGAGGAAAGGACAAAAGGAAAAGAUACUUCGAUGGAAUCAGCAGCCAUUGAUCCAAUGCCAACUCCAAGACUGGAACGUCGCAAUGAUAGUUCCAAGGCGGAAAUUUGACGUAAUUCUUUUCGACACAGUUUUACAGGCAUCUUGCAUGUGAAUAACUCACAACUUUAAUUCAUGGAACAAAUUGAGAAAUAGUCUUUUGGGGGUUUGGUACUCCCUGGAAACAUAAGAGUGCUUUGGGCACCUCUGGUGCCUUUCCAUGCCUGCCUUCUCUGCUGUUCUUGCUACUAGUGAAUUCUAAAUCAUGGCCAAGUGAUGCCAGCACUGGAUAAUAUUGGCUCUGCCCCAUAUCUCGAGGGAAAACUCUGGGACUUGGCAUUAUAUGUGUGGGAAUCUGGCCUUGGUUGGCACUCCCAGCAUGAUAGCAGGGUUCUGCUGUCUGAAUGUACUCUGGGGUGUGCGCCACAAUUUCUGUCAUCGAAAUGGAGAUGAGAGAAUAUGCCCUUGGUGGGGACACCCCACUGGAAUUAGAGUGAAGAGAUCAAAGCUAGAGGUUCUUAAAUCAAAGAAUGUCUAAUAGCAAAGACAAAAACUUGCUUAAGAGAAAUGCAUACAGGUACUAGACCUAAUAUGAUGAAAAAUGCUAACUUCAACAUAUUGAUGCAUGCUUAGUAUACUUUUAGUCCUGCAAAGACAAAAGUUUUUUGUUUGUUUUUUUUUGAGACGGAGUCUCGCUCUGUCGCCCAGGUUGGAGUGCAGUGGUGUGAUCUCGGCUUACUGCAAGCUCUGCCUCCUGGGUUCACACCAUUCUCCUGCCUCAGCCUCCGGAGUAGCUGGGACUACAGGCGCCCGCCACCACGCCCGGCUAAUUUUUUGUAUUUUUAGUAGAGAUGGGGUUUCACCGUGUUAGCCAGGAUGGUCUCGAUCUCCUGACCUCAGGUGAUCCGCCUGCCUUGGCCUCCCAAAGUGCUGGGAUUACAGGCAUGAGCCACCGCACCUGGCCCAGUCCUGCCAAGACAAAGUUUUAAAACACAGGUUGCACAUUGGCAGCUCUCAAGCCAAAUCUGGCCCAUAGACAUGGUUUGCUUGGCCUAUAAUGUUAGUAAUACUUGACCCAAGAUUUAAAAUUUGAAAAGUUUCAUAUAAAAAUAUAGAUUUACAGCUUUUCUAGAAAAACUAUAAGAGUUAACAGUUUCUGAAUUGCAACAGCAGCUGGAACACCGUUGCCACUGACCAUUUAGAUGACUGCUGCAGUCCCCACGGCUCACUCUGGUUCAGGUAGGGGUUCUAGUUUGUAACCCCUGGUUUAAAACAUAACUGACUCUCUAGUUUUUAAAAUUCUCUCAAAAUCAAAUAACCUGAACUAGCAAAUGAUCUAGAUCCUCGUACAUGGAACUCAUACUAAGUUGACCACAGACAGUGGCUCCCAAACUCUGCAGUACAUCAGAGUCACUGGGAAGCUUUAAAAAAUCCUGCUCCCUAGCUGGGUGCAGUGGUUUAUGCCUGUAGCCCCAGCUACUUGAGAGGCUGAGGUGGGAGGAUUGCUCAAGCCCAGGAGUUUGAGGCUGCAGUGAGCCAUGAAUGUACCACUACACUCCAGCCUGGGCAACAGAGCAAGACCCCAACUCUAAAAAAAAAUCCUGCUCCCCAGGUGACAGUAUCUGGGGGAAGGAGUAAGGCAUCUUAUUUUCAAAAGAUCAUAAGAAAAGAGGCUCAUUGCUGAGGCUCACUCCGGAGCCCACUUGGAUUCUUCACAAGAAAGUUUCCCUCUUCCAGAAUUUUAUAAUUGAGGGAACCGACUAGGGAAAGAUUAAUUUGCCCAAGGUCAAACAACUAGUAAAAGAAGUAAGGAUUCCAACCCAGAUCUUUUGACUCUAUUAUCCUUACAUAUAGUUUUAUAGUGAUUUAAAUUGAUACAAGGAUAGGUUUAAAUACAAGUAGAAUGCAGGUUCAUAUAAAACUGAUUUUAUCCUCAUGUUAGAAAACAUAUACACUGUAACAGAGGGAUGACCAUCAAGUGACCAAGAUAUUUUAGUCAAAAGAUGAAUUUUUCUGCAAUUGGAGAAUGCCAAAAAUAUUCAAAGAAAAUAUAAGUCUUGUAGGCAGUCUUCUAUCAAAACCCACUGAACCGCUGGGCACGGUGGCUCAUGCCUGUAAUUCCAGCACUUUGGGAGGCCAAGGCUGGUGGAUCACCUGAGGUCAGGAGUUUGAGACCAGCCUGGCCGACAUGGUCUCUACUAAAAAUACAAAAAAUUAGCUGGGCCUGGUGGCGGCACCUGUAAUCCCAGCUACUGAGGAGGCUGAGGCAGGAGAAUUGUUUGAACCUUGGAGGUAGAGGCUGCAGUGAGCUGAGAUAGCACCACUGCACUCCAGCCUGGGUAACAAGAGUGAAACUCCAUUCAAAAACAAAAAACAAACAAAAAAAAAACAAUGCACCAAAUACUAAGUUAUUAACUAGGAUACUGAUUAUUAAGCAUGUAAAACAUUUUAUGGAACUCAGAGUUUGAUGUAAAUUGCUAUAUUUUAUAAUUCAAACAAACCUUGUUUCAUGUCAUUAUAUUAGAGUAGCAUUAUGAGACAGGAUAUAGUGUAAGCUAUAUCCCCAAUAUAAUUGCAACUGUAUAUUUUAAAGCAUGGGGAAAAUAUGAAAAGAAUUAUGCUCAAAUGUGGGUAGGAUUAUAACUGAUUUGUUUUCUUCAUUUUCAGAUUUUUCUAUAAUGACUAUACAUUAUUUUUAUAGUCAAAAAUAGAAGUAUUUUAAAUGUUUCUAGGUAGAAUAGCAAAUUAGCUGAAAUAGUAUCUCCAACGUUAUUAUCAAGACUAGACUCCUUGGGUAAAUUGGUCAGAACAGUGUUGUUCUCAUUUUACACCUCUCCAAGAUUAACUAUGUUUUAGAUUUGUGUGUGUGUUUGGUUAAAGAGCCAGGAUGAAGAUCCAGAGUUCUUAAACCUGUAUACCACCAUACUACAUUGUCAUUUUAAAGAAAUGUCUAGUAGACUCGGUGGCAUAAACAUGGGCCAUUUACAAACUAGAUGUCUAAUAUCAGAUACCUCAAAUUUGACAGUAGACUUUUUUUCAAAGCUAAAGUGGUCUUAUGUUGACUAUUUUGUUUCUUACUUGAUACUUGUUUACUUUUUAAUUUUUGGCAAGUAAUGUUUCAAGUUAAAGUUUUAGCUAUAUAUAGCAGGCAGUAUUUCAAGUAAAUGAGUUACAUCAGUAAACACCUCUGUAUUACUAAACUGAGAAUCAGAAAAUGUAAUCUCUUUGGCAGGAUUCGUAUGUUUGUAUCACGUCUUUAUCCUCAGGCAACUUUUAUCUUGGAAUACUGAACCAGCAGUCAGAAUAUGAGGGACAUUAGACUGUGUUAUAGUUACUGUUCUGUCCUUAAGUCACUUGCCUUCUCUAAGUGUCAGUUGCCUCAUCUGAAAAUGGAGUUAGCAGACCCCAGCCUAUCCUGAGUUUGAGGGCUAAAGGGAAUUAUUCUUGAAAAUGUCUAUACAUGAUAAAUGUCACAAAUAUAACUUAGCAUUUUUUUUUUGAGACAGAGUUUCGCUCUUGUGGCCCAGGUCGGGGUGCAAUGUCGUGAUCUCAGCUCACUGCAACCUCUGCCUCCCGGGUUCAAGCGAUUCUCCUGCCUCAGCCUCCUGAGUAGCUGGGAUUACAGGCAUGCACCACCACACCUGGCUAAUUUUGUAUUUUUUAAUAGAGACGGGGUUUCACCAUGUUGGUCAGGUUGGUCUCGAACUCCUACCCUCCGGUGAUCCACCCGCCUUGGCCUCCCAAAGUGCUGGGAUUACAGGCAUGAGCCACCGCACCUAGCCAAUUCUACUUCUAUUACAUUUUCAGCAUAUAUCACUUCAUUGCUCCUCCAUAUUAUUUUUCACUGGUCUUCUUACAUCUUGUGUGCCCAUAUUUAAGUAGUUUUCUUUCCAGGUAAAAAAUACAUGUGUGCCUAAAAGAUUUUAAAGUCAACUUUUCAUAAACCAUACCUAAAUUAUCAAAGUUAUUAGAAUUAUUAGAAAGUAUUAGCUAAUUCUUUUAUAAAAUGUAGACUUUAUUAUUUUAGAAAUAUUGAUUCCUCUCUAUUCAGCUAUCUUAAAGAGGGUAUAUUUUAAUCAUCGCAAUAUAUUACCUUCAUAGUAUUUUUUACUUUUGCAAAGUAUAUUUUGUCAUGUUAUUUCAUUUAGGAAUGCACUAAAUCUACAUAUCUACAUAUGAUUAUACAAGGAAACAUCUUUGUCUCAAAAAUGGGUUCUAUUACAUUUUUUAAUUUCCAGGGGUCAUGAUAUAUAAAAAGACCUGAUUUAUCUUAAAAAUACAUACUUUUAUUCUUACCUACCAUACAUCUUUUUUUGUGAUAAUCAGAAGGCUUAAUUUACUAUAAAAUAGGAAAACAACAGCUAUGUUAGAUUAUAUAGUUAAUUUAGGGAUUAAAUGAGUUAAGGUCUACAAGCCCCUGGCACAUGGCAGACAAUCAAUAAUUGAUCAUUUCCUUUGCAUCUAUAAAUUUGUUCAUUCACUUCUCAUGUGGUUCUACCUUAGACAACGAUUUUUGUUUACAGAGACAAAUAGAAGUAUCUAAUCCUAAAUAACCCAAUCAAUUGGUAAAGGCUACACUACAAAGCUGGCAUGACUUCACCAAAUGCUAGAGAAACAGUGUUAAGAGUGACAACACUAAAAGUCUUACACUCUGAUGAUGCUAGUUGCCGCCGAAUUGCUUCCCCUACCAGUUCCUUAAGUUUCUUCUUAUGAUCCCGGCUGGUUUUCUUAUAGAAAUAAAGAUCUUUUUCCAACUGCUGGAUUUUAUCUUCAUAUGUUUUGAAAGUUUCCAUAAUGCCUUCUCCAUCUUGUUCUAUACAACAAAAAUUUGCAUUUAAAAUCAGUUUUAAAUAAAUGAUGCAAAAUUAUGUUUUUGUUUGUUUCUUUGUCUUUUUGAAACGGAGUCUUGCACUGUCGCCCAGGCUAGAGUGCAGUGGCGUGAUAUGCUCGGCUCACUGUAAGCUCCGCCACCCAGGUUCACACCAUUCUCCUGCCUCCGCCUCCCAAGUAGCUGGGACUACAGGUGCCCAGCACCACGCCCGGCUAAUUUUUUUGUAUUUUUAGUAGAGACGAGGUUUCAUCAUGUUAGCCAGGAUGGUCUCGAUCUCCUGACCUCGUGAACUGCC
This 6301-nucleotide long non-coding RNA is filed under the name Homo sapiens (human). RNAcentral describes it as "HSALNT0151280". The record is from RNAcentral. Lineage: Eukaryota; Metazoa; Chordata; Mammalia; Primates; Hominidae.